Molecule: small nucleolar RNA, 138 nt
Filed under: Ornithorhynchus anatinus (platypus)
Lineage: Eukaryota; Metazoa; Chordata; Mammalia; Monotremata; Ornithorhynchidae
Source: RNAcentral
UACUUCUUAGUAUUACACCUGGAGAGUUUCCAGUACUCUAUCAGUCUUGGCUAUGGGAGGCAGAGUCAAGCAGAGACCUACGCAUUCCAUUCCUAGCUUGGGCAGUGGCUAGAGAGUGGAAGGCAAUCUGCUACAAAU